AAGCGGAGGAAAAGAAACUAACAAGGAUUCCCCUAGUAACGGCGAGUGAAGCGGGAAGAGCUCAAAUUUGUAAUCUGGCACUUUCAGUGUCCGAGUUGUAAUCUCGAGAAGUGUUUUCCGCGCCGGACCGCAUACAAGUCUGUUGGAAUACAGCGUCAUAGUGGUGAGAACCCCGUAACUGAUGCGGAUGCCCGGUGCUUUGUGAUACACUUUCGAAGAGUCGAGUUGUUUGGGAAUGCAGCUCAAAUUGGGUGGUAAAUUCCAUCUAAAGCUAAAUAUUGGCGAGAGACCGAUAGCGAACAAGUACCGUGAGGGAAAGAUGAAAAGCACUUUGGAAAGAGAGUUAACAGUACGUGAAAUUGUUGGAAGGGAAACGAUUGAAGUCAGACUUGUUAUCUGGAGUUCAGCCUUUCGGUGUACUCUCCAGUUUACAGGCCAGCAUCAGUUUUCGGGGCGGGAAAAUCGUAAUUAGAAGGUAGCAGCCUAGCUGUGUUAUAGCUCUUUACUGGAUUCCGCUUUGGGGACUGAGGAACGCAGUGUGCUUUUAGCAAUACCCUCGGGUAUUUCACACUUAGGAUGCGGGAAGAAUGGCUUUAAACGACCCG
RNAcentral lists this ribosomal RNA (605 nucleotides) under Curvibasidium nothofagi. RNAcentral's name for it is "eukaryotic LSU rRNA". It matches the Rfam family "Eukaryotic large subunit ribosomal RNA", at positions 48 to 651 of the family's 3401-position model. The record is from RNAcentral. Lineage: Eukaryota; Fungi; Basidiomycota; Microbotryomycetes.